RNAcentral lists this long non-coding RNA (391 nucleotides) under Amphimedon queenslandica. RNAcentral describes it as "uncharacterized LOC109586084". Lineage: Eukaryota; Metazoa; Porifera; Demospongiae; Haplosclerida; Niphatidae. The record is from RNAcentral.
GUGCUACAACUCAUCAUCGUGGCAACAGACUCCUCCCUCAUUCUAUCGUCCCUAGCAGACCCCCUCCCUUGAACUUUAUGGUAAUGCUAUCUCAUUAAACAAAGCAGGAGGAGGAGGAGGGGGAGGGAGUGGAGGUAGCAGGAAAUCAUCAGCUAGGAGGAGACCAAUGGGACAGGCUUAUAAUAACUACAGGUAUACAGUGUCUCAUCCAGGACUAUCAGUUCAAGGACUCUCAGUUAAUGAUAGAGUUAAACAUUUGAAGCAUCUCUCAACAGCUUCAAACUUGUCUACAUCAUAACUAACUGUACAUGUAUGUGUUCAAUAAUAUUAUUUUCCAUUAUAAUUAUACACCUGCACCCACACACAACUAAACAUACUCAUGUGUUAUAAA